CAGUAGCCGCGGGAAUACAGAGGGUGCGAGCGUUAAUCGGAUUUACUGGGCGUAAAGCGUGCGUAGGCGGCUUCUUAAGUCGGAUGUGAAAUCCCUGAACUUAACUUAGGAAUUGCAUUCGAUACUGGGAAGCUAGAGUAUGGGAGAGGAUGGUAGAAUUCCAGGUGUAGCGGUGAAAUGCGUAGAGAUCUGGAGGAAUACCGAUGGCGAAGGCAGCCAUCUGGCCUAAUACUGACGCUGAGGUACGAAAGCAUGGGGAGCAAACAGGAUUAGAUACCCCUGUAGUCCCUGUCUCUUAUAA
RNAcentral lists this ribosomal RNA (301 nucleotides) under uncultured bacterium. RNAcentral describes it as "partial 16S ribosomal RNA". It matches the Rfam family "Bacterial small subunit ribosomal RNA", at positions 509 to 809 of the family's 1533-position model. The record is from RNAcentral.